GUCAACAUAGAUACAACUGUAACCAAAACGUUUUAGCCAUCUAGAGGAGGAGGAAAAAAAGUGAGCGACAUGACUCAGUAUGAAUCACAUCAACAAGCAAAUCGUGCUGGCCAUGCGUGGGUAGACCGAAGAUGUCGGCAGAGACAAAUCAAGCGAUUCACAGAGAUGAUGAAGGGUCCCCUCCAGUGUCAGCCAAUCAGCCAUUUAGCAACGUUGCCCCAGAUGUACUUUGCACCAUGACGUCACACGCAAUCUAAAUUUUAACAGGUAAGUUGAUUCAAUAAAGGAUGCAGAACUUCACACAUAGCACUAACUAGUUAAUGUGUUCGAAACCUACCAACCAAGUAGAGAGACAUUUUUUGUGUGUGUACAAAGAUUGCAAAGCGACAACAAAACUUGAAUUUCAGGUGCUCCACUGCUCGAGUGCAGUGAGGAAAACAUAAGCAAUUACGCAUGUGGAUAAGGAGAGAAACAAGUCGCUAAUACACUUUAAGCCAUUUAUUAAACAGGACAAUGUUGUUAUACG
This is a long non-coding RNA of Phycodurus eques (leafy seadragon), 526 nucleotides long. RefSeq lists it as uncharacterized. The record is from RefSeq and is a predicted model, not a curated record. Lineage: Eukaryota; Metazoa; Chordata; Actinopteri; Syngnathiformes; Syngnathidae. The transcript is spliced from 3 exons.